CAUUACAACCUUCAAGCUCAGCUUGGUAUUGGAUCUUGACUUUCAUCUUGGAAGUCGGUCUCAAAGACAUUGGCGAUGCUCAGCGUAAGACUUGGAGCGUAGUAAUAUCGAUACCGCUUUUCAAGUGCCCUGGUCAUCUGCCUCGAGCAUUUAAUCAAUUGGUUGACCUCGGAUCAGGUAGGGAUACCCGCUGAACUUAA
Molecule: unclassified non-coding RNA, 200 nt
Filed under: soil metagenome
Description: partial contains internal transcribed spacer 2 and large subunit ribosomal RNA
Source: RNAcentral